RNAcentral lists this transfer RNA (83 nucleotides) under Schistocephalus solidus. It matches the Rfam family "tRNA". From Rfam's summary of the family: Transfer RNA (tRNA) molecules are approximately 80 nucleotides in length. Their secondary structure includes four short double-helical elements and three loops (D, anti-codon, and T loops). Further hydrogen bonds mediate the characteristic L-shaped molecular structure. tRNAs have two regions of fundamental functional importance: the anti-codon, which is responsible for specific mRNA codon recognition, and the 3' end, to which the tRNAs corresponding amino acid is attached (by aminoacyl-tRNA synthetases). tRNAs cope with the degeneracy of the genetic code in two manners: having more than one tRNA (with a specific anti-codon) for a particular amino acid; and 'wobble' base-pairing, i.e. permitting non-standard base-pairing at the 3rd anti-codon position. The record is from Rfam by way of RNAcentral. Lineage: Eukaryota; Metazoa; Platyhelminthes; Cestoda; Diphyllobothriidea; Diphyllobothriidae.
GGCCUCGUAGCUCGGGGGGUUUGAGUGUUGGCUGCACUGAAGCCUUCUUCUUACUGGCGUGGGUUCAAAUCCCACUGAGGCUG